CUGCAGUCGAGCGCUGAUUACAGGGUAGCAAUAUUCUGUAGUCGGAGCGGCGCAAGGGUGCGUAACACGUGGGUAAUCUGCCAUGAAGUUUGGAAUAACUCGCUGAAAGGCGAGCUAAUGCCGGAUGUAAAAACUGAGAGGCAUCUCUUGGUUUUCAAAGCUGGGGACCGUAAGGCCUGGCGCUUCAUGAUGAGCCCGCGGCCUAUCAGCUAGUUGGUAAGGUAACGGCUUACCAAGGCUAAGACGGGUAGCUGGUCUGAGGGGACGACCAGCCACACUGGAACUGAGACACGGUCCAGACACCUACGGGUGGCAGCAGUCGAGAAUUUUUCACAAUGGGCGCAAGCCUGAUGGAGCGACGCCGCGUGGGGGAUGAAUGGCUUCGGCCCGUAAACCCCUGUCAUUUGCGAUCAACCGUUACUGUUUAAGAGAUGAUAACCUGAUAGUAGCGAAAGAGGAAGGGACGGCUAACUCUGUGCCAGCAGCCGCGGUAAUACAGAGGUCCCAAGCGUUGUUCGGAUUCACUGGGCGUAAAGGGUGCGUAGGUGGCGGGGUAAGUCGGAUGUGAAAUCUCCGAGCUCAACUCGGAAAUGGCAUUGGAAACUGCUCUGCUCGAGGGUUGGAGGGGGGACUGGAAUACUUGGUGUAGCAGUGAAAUGCGUAGAUAUCAAGUGGAACACCAGUGGCGAAGGCGAGUCCCUGGACAACUCCUGACACUGAGGCACGAAAGCUAGGGGAGCAAACAGGAUUAGAUACCCUGGUAGUCCUAGCCGUAAACGGUGCAUGUUUGCUGUAAAAGGAAUCGACCCCUUUUGUGGCGUAGCCAACGCGUUAAACAUGCCGCCUGGGAAGUACGGUCGCAAGAUUAAAACUCAAAGAAAUUGACGGGGGGCCUGCACAAGCGGUGGAGUAUGUGGCUCAAUUCGAUGCAACGCGAAGAACUUUACCUGGCCUUGACAUGUAUGUAGUAAGAAGGGUGAAAGCCUGACGAGGUAGCAUACCAGCAUACACAGUGCUGCAUGCUGUCGUCAGCUCCGUCUGAGAUGAUAGGUUAGUCCCGCAACGAGCGC
Molecule: ribosomal RNA, 1070 nt
Filed under: uncultured bacterium
Lineage: Bacteria
Description: bacterial SSU rRNA
Rfam family: Bacterial small subunit ribosomal RNA
Source: RNAcentral